Molecule: non-coding RNA, 540 nt
Organism: Catharus ustulatus (Swainson's thrush)
Lineage: Eukaryota; Metazoa; Chordata; Aves; Passeriformes; Turdidae
Source: the annotation of a RefSeq genome assembly
AUGCAGAAACAAAGAGUCUGUGCCCAGUCCAAGUUAAAAGGUGUUUAUUGUGAUUAUUAUUUACAUUUAUAUCAUCUUUGGGCGGCCGUGACCCUGCUGAAGUCCAGAGGAGACCUCCAGCCCCCCGGGGGGUCCCUGACUCUGCUCUGCCGCGCCUCCGGGUUCAAUUUCGGAAGCUCCUACAUGCAGUGGGUCCGCCAGAGUCCCGGGAAGGCGCUGGAAUGGGUUGGAAUGAUCAGCAGCAGUGGCAGCAGUACCUGGUACGCGCCGUCAUUCAAGGGCCGGUUCUCGAUCUCCAGGGACAACGGGCAGAGCUCGGUGACGCUGACCAUGAACAGCCUCAAGGACGAGGAUUCCGCCGUUUAUUUCUGUGCCACAAACACUGGUGCUGGUUAUGCUGAUGCUUAUGCUGUUGAUGGAUUUGAUCCAGAACCGGCCCCGCACCGAGGCCCCAUAGAAGGUGUAACCUCCAUCGCCGCUGAUCAGUGCCACGAAUUCAAACCCUUCCCGAAGCUCUGCCGGACCCAUCUCAUUUCGUAA